UGCCGCGGUUAUACGAGGGACUCAAGUUGAUAGACAGCGGCGUAAAGCGUGGUUAUGGACCUCCCCCUCCCAUACUAAAGUUAAACACCCCUCAAACUGUUAUACGCAUCCAGGGAACGGAUACCCGCCCACGAAAGUGACUUUAACAUUACUCCUGAACCCACGAAAGCUAAGAAA
Molecule: ribosomal RNA, 177 nt
Filed under: Coccorella atlantica (Atlantic sabertooth)
Lineage: Eukaryota; Metazoa; Chordata; Actinopteri; Aulopiformes; Evermannellidae
Description: partial 12S rRNA
Source: RNAcentral